CCCGUGAUUUCAACAUGGACGUUUAGAAAAUAAGAUGGAGAGGAGGUAUUUUUGGAGAUAAAAAAUAAAAUAAUAACAAUAAUAAAUCCUUAUUGUGGUCCUCAGAAUGAUGUUAAUCUACUGAUAAUCAUGAUCGUAUGAUCAAUGAAUCAUUAAUCAAAUGUACAAACUUAUAAAUUUUCACAAGAAAGGGUAAUACAGAACAAGGUUUGAAUAGCGGA
Molecule: long non-coding RNA, 221 nt
Filed under: Elaeis guineensis (African oil palm)
Lineage: Eukaryota; Viridiplantae; Streptophyta; Magnoliopsida; Arecales; Arecaceae
Description: long non-coding RNA (EGUI_LNC015150)
Source: RNAcentral